Molecule: RNA transcript, 5250 nt
Organism: Pan troglodytes (chimpanzee)
Lineage: Eukaryota; Metazoa; Chordata; Mammalia; Primates; Hominidae
Gene: TSC22D1
Gene name: TSC22 domain family member 1
Exons: 4
Source: RefSeq, a predicted model, not a curated record
CUUCGGGUCCCCGGCCGCCCUGUUCACCCUCGUUCAUCCUCCUUUCCGAAGCUCGCUGUCGAAGGCAGGAGCGACCGGCGCCUUUGGCUGAGGAGGAGGAGAAGGAGGAAUCGCGGCAGGCGGAGCGUCAGGUCCCGUUUUCCUCUCCGGCGUCUCGAAUACAAAGAUUACGGUGCAGAAGGAAAUUGCACUCGUCUCCUCCGCGCCCCCGGUACCCAACACAAUGCACCAGCCGCCUGAGUCCACCGCCGCGGCCGCCGCCGCUGCAGACAUUAGCGCUAGGAAGAUGGCGCACCCGGCAAUGUUCCCUCGAAGGGGCAGCGGUAGUGGCAGCGCCUCUGCUCUCAAUGCAGCAGGUACCGGCGUCGGUAGUAAUGCCACAUCUUCCGAGGAUUUUCCGCCUCCGUCGCUGCUUCAGCCGCCGCCCCCUGCAGCAUCUUCUACGUCGGGACCACAGCCUCCGCCUCCACAAAGCCUGAACCUCCUUUCGCAGGCUCAGCUGCAGGCACAGCCUCUUGCGCCAGGCGGAACUCAAAUGAAAAAGAAAAGUGGCUUCCAGAUAACUAGCGUUACUCCUGCUCAGAUCUCCGCUAGUAUCAGCUCUAACAACAGUAUAGCAGAGGACACUGAGAGCUAUGAUGAUCUGGAUGAAUCUCACACGGAAGAUCUCUCUUCUUCGGAGAUCCUUGAUGUGUCACUUUCCAGGGCUACUGACUUAGGGGAGCCCGAACGCAGCUCCUCAGAAGAGACCCUAAAUAACUUCCAGGAAGCCGAGACACCUGGGGCAGUCUCUCCCAACCAGCCCCACCUUCCUCAGCCUCAUUUGCCUCACCUUCCACAACAGAAUGUUGUGAUCAAUGGGAAUGCUCAUCCACACCACCUCCAUCACCACCAUCACAUUCAUCAUGGGCACCACCUCCAACAUGGGCACCACCAUCCAUCUCAUGUUGCUGUGGCCAGUGCAUCCAUUACUGGUGGGCCACCCUCAAGCCCAGUAUCUAGAAAACUCUCUACAACUGGAAGCUCUGACAGUAUCACACUAGUUGCACCAACUUCUGCUGUAUCAUCCAGUGGUUCACCUGCAUCUGUAAUGACUAAUGUGCGUGCUCCAAGUACUACAGGUGGAAUAGGUAUAAAUUCUGUUACUGGCACUAGUACAGUAAAUAGUGUUAACAUUACUGCUGUGGGUAGUUUUAAUCCUAAUGUGACAAGCAGCAUGCUUGGUAAUGUUAAUAUAAGUACAAGCAAUGUUCCUAGUGCUGCUGGUGUGAGUGUUGGGCCUGGAGUUACCAGUGGUGUUAAUGUGAAUAUCUUGAGUGGCAUGGGCAAUGGUACUAUUUCUUCCUCUGCUGCUGUUAGCAGUGUUCCUAAUGCAGCUGCAGGGAUGACUGGGGGAUCGGUUUCAAGUCAGCAGCAACAACCAACAGUUAACACUUCGAGGUUCAGAGUUGUGAAGUUAGAUUCUAGUUCUGAGCCCUUUAAAAAAGGUAGAUGGACUUGCACUGAGUUCUAUGAAAAAGAAAAUGCUGUACCUGCUACAGAAGGUGUGCUGAUAAAUAAAGUGGUGGAGACUGUAAAGCAAAAUCCGAUAGAAGUGACUUCUGAAAGGGAGAGCACUAGUGGGAGUUCAGUGAGCAGUAGUGUCAGCACACUGAGUCACUAUACAGAGAGUGUGGGAAGUGGAGAGAUGGGAGCCCCUACUGUGGUGGUGCAGCAGCAGCAGCAGCAACAACAACAACAGCAACAACCAGCUCUCCAAGGUGUGACCCUCCAACAGAUGGAUUUUGGUAGCACUGGUCCACAGAGUAUUCCAGCAGUUAGUAUACCGCAGAGUAUUUCUCAGUCACAGAUCUCACAAGUACAAUUACAGUCUCAAGAACUGAGCUAUCAGCAAAAGCAAGGUCUUCAGCCAGUACCUCUGCAAGCCACUAUGAGUGCUGCAACUGGUAUCCAGCCAUCGCCUGUAAAUGUGGUUGGUGUAACUUCAGCUUUAGGUCAGCAGCCUUCCAUUUCCAGUUUGGCUCAACCCCAGCUACCAUAUUCUCAGGCGGCUCCUCCAGUGCAAACUCCCCUUCCAGGGGCACCACCACCCCAACAGUUACAGUAUGGACAACAGCAACCAAUGGUUUCUACACAGAUGGCCCCAGGCCAUGUCAAAUCAGUGACUCAAAAUCCUGCUUCAGAGUAUGUACAACAGCAGCCAAUUCUUCAAACAGCAAUGUCCUCCGGACAGCCCAGUUCUGCAGGAGUAGGAGCAGGAACAACAGUGAUUCCUGUGGCUCAGCCACAGGGUAUCCAGCUGCCAGUGCAGCCCACAGCAGUCCCAGCACAACCUGCAGGGGCAUCUGUCCAGCCUGUUGGCCAGGCUCCGGCAGCAGUGUCUGCUGUACCUACUGGCAGUCAGAUUGCAAAUAUUGGUCAGCAAGCAAACAUACCUACUGCAGUGCAGCAGCCCUCUACCCAGGUUCCACCUUCAGUUAUUCAGCAGGGUGCUCCUCCAUCUUCGCAAGUGGUUCCACCUGCUCAAACUGGGAUUAUUCAUCAGGGAGUUCAAACUAGUGCUCCAAGCCUUCCUCAACAAUUGGUUAUUGCAUCCCAAAGUUCGUUGUUAACUGUGCCUCCCCAGCCACAAGGAGUAGAACCAGUAGCUCAAGGAAUUGUUUCACAGCAGUUGCCUGCAGUUAGUUCUUUGCCCUCUGCUAGUAGUAUUUCUGUUACAAGUCAGGUUAGUUCAACUGGUCCUUCUGGAAUGCCUUCUGCCCCAACAAACUUGGUUCCACCACAAAAUAUAGCACAAACCCCUGCUACCCAAAAUGGUAAUUUGGUUCAAAGUGUUAGUCAACCUCCCUUGAUAGCAACUAAUAUAAAUUUGCCUUUGGCACAACAGAUACCACUAAGUUCUACCCAGUUCUCCGCACAAUCAUUAGCUCAGGCAAUUGGAAGCCAAAUUGAAGAUGCCAGGCGUGCAGCGGAGCCCUCCUUAGGUGGCUUACCUCAGACUAUCAGUGGUGACAGUGGGGGAAUGUCAGCAGUUUCAGAUGGGAGUAGCAGCAGCCUAGCAGCCUCUGCUUCUCUUUUCCCGUUGAAGGUGCUACCGCUGACGACACCCCUGGUGGAUGGCGAGGAUGAGAGCUUUUGGUACAUUUCCAAACUGGCUGGCAGAGCCAGGAGGAAGUGAAGGCAUUAGAAACACUAACUUUGGUUGGUUGCUACCGUCUUAGUGCUGAGACUAUAACCUUUGUUGGUUGAUUGAUAGAGAACAAGAGAACACAAUCCUCGUUCCACUAACAGCUCUCUAUUUCAGUGCUUCUCUCCUACCAGAGGUGCAAGGAGUGAUCCUAGAACCACAGAUACAGCCAAGACCACGGAGAGCUUUUGACGUCAGGGGUCCACUUUCUCCACUGAACCCUUGGAGACAGAAUAUCCAGCUUCUGGAGAGAGUGGGAAAGGAUAAUAAACAAAUUUCUUUCAACUGGUAAAACAUCAUACUUCUUCAGCAAAAGGAAUUCUUCUAGCAGAGCCUUCAUGGAUGAUAUCUGUCACACAUGCCAGCACCUGCAGUUUGGAAGGCAGUGGUGAAUGGAUCCAUGCAAUAUGUCUAGAAGACACAAGGAUGAGCCAGCCACCUGAUCUUGUCAUUUAUAAACUUUUAAGAAUUACUCUGGUUUACUUUUGGUCUGAAAAUGGAAAGGCCCAAAUAAUGAAAUAAUCUUUUCAGAUUGGAAUUUUACAUGGCCAUGAAAAUAUUUCUUUCUAUUCAGAAGACUGAAAUAGAGGAAGCUUGAGAGACUCCUUUCUUUUAAAAGCGGCUCUCUGUAUCUGUUUCAUUUAAAACAUUUGUGGGAUUGAAAAUCACCUUAAUGAAGUAGGCAAACAUUUUUUUAAGUAGUAGAGGAAGUCCAGAAAACUUAAUGAAAUGGUUUUUUUUGUUGCCUGACACUGAAAGUAACUAGUAAAUAAAGGGUGAACUUCUUAAUUAUUCGAAAACUGCUUUUAAUAUUAGGAUAUACUCUUUUAGCUCAUCUUCGCUGGUCUUGAGCCUUAUUAUAAUUGUCAAAUCAACAAAGUUUCUAAUAGAGAAGUAGAAGAAAUAUCUUUUGAGAUGUAAGUAGCUUGGUCUGUCUUCUGAAGUAAUACAUACCUGUUAAACUUGAGGUAUUCUUUUCAUACUGAAGGCAUUCUAAAGUUUGGUACUGUCGCAAAACAGUAGUUUACAGAGCAGAAGCACUUAGUAUUAGAAUAAGCCUGUAGGUGUGAAGGAAUAAGUGUUGCGAAAUAGUUAUUUAUCCAAGCUGUCAAUUAAUUGAUUGAAGUAGUUAUCAAAAUGUUUCUGUUUCUUUCUUUGGUAUCUAUUAACUGGUCAGUCAAAAGCUAUUAAAGAAUGUUUUUAAAGUCACCUAAUGCUGCCAGUUUGUUAAAUUUGGUAUACAUUUUAAGAAUAGACAUUCCAGAGUUAUUAAUAUGGAAGCAGCUAAAAUGUUUUAGGAAAUCUCAAAAGUUUUAGAAGCCACAUUUGCUAAAGCAUAACCUGCACUUAGUCUUUCUUGGCUAUCUGUUUUUUUUCUCAUUAAUUAUAAAUAAAUUUUUGUUAAGUAUAGUAUUUAAAAGUAAGUUUAAAGGUUCAAUUUGAACUGAAAUUUCCCCAGAGAGCUUUGAAUUCCCAUAAGUGAUUACAGCUUUUACUCCCGACUUGUUUUUAGUAAAUGUUAAUAAGACAAUUGGUUUACAAACACAUAUAAAUUAAAAAAACAACUGUCCAUCGUUUUAGGAAGAACUGAAGGAACUAAAAAUGAGAUUUGCUUGGAAAUUAAGUUAGUUGAACUCUUUGAACCACAGUAGAAACCACUUUGUGUGGCCUGUGAGAUUAUAAGCUUUUUGUUUCAGCUUUGAAGAUGAAAAGUGAUUUAAUCUCUUAAUCUCAUGCUUUGAUUGAAUUUUAGCUCUGUUCCUUAAAAUAUGCAAAAGGAAAUGUAAGUGCAUUUCUAGUCACCUCAUGCCACUACAAGCUAUUUAUUUAAAAGUGAAACUUUUUGUAUAUUAUUGUGAACUGAUUUGUUUAUUUAAACUUUUAUUUUGGUGAAUUUACCUUUGAGUUUUUUUAUAUUUUAUGUCACAAAAUGAAGUCCUAUAUUUUUCAGUGUUUAUGAAUAUUAAUAUAAACUAUUUUUUUCUAGAAUGACUAAUUGUGUAAUAUCUGUAUUAUGUGAUAAUUUGAAAUCUAAUAAAUAUUUUCUCCGUGAAAAAAAUGCA